Molecule: unclassified non-coding RNA, 377 nt
Filed under: uncultured Parachlamydiaceae bacterium
Lineage: Bacteria; Pseudomonadati; Chlamydiota; Chlamydiia; Parachlamydiales; Parachlamydiaceae
Description: contains 16S-23S intergenic spacer region
Source: RNAcentral
UCCUGGUUAACCCAGGCAGUCUCAUUAGAGUUCCCACCUUAAAUGUUGGCAACUAAUGAUAAGGGUUGCGCUCGUUGCGGGACUUAACCCAACACCUCACGGCACGAGCUGACGACAGCCAUGCAGCACCUGUUCAGCGGCUCCGAAGAGAAUAUCCAUUUCUGGAUACGUCCACUGUAUGUCAAGACUGGGUAAGGUUCUUCGCGUUGCAUCGAAUUAAACCACAUGCUCCACUGCUUGUGCGGGUCCCCGUCAAUUCUUUUGAGUUUCACCCUUGCGAGCGUACUCCCCAGGCGGUAUACUUAUCGCGUUAGCUACGGCACAACUAGGGUUGAGUCCAGUUACACCAAGUAUACAUCGUUUACGGCAAGGACUAC